RNAcentral lists this long non-coding RNA (1378 nucleotides) under Gossypium barbadense (sea-island cotton). RNAcentral describes it as "long non-coding RNA (GBAR_LNC022253)". The record is from RNAcentral. Lineage: Eukaryota; Viridiplantae; Streptophyta; Magnoliopsida; Malvales; Malvaceae.
ACCGUUCUGCUUCUUUUUAAGUUUUAAAAAAAACCAAAUUUAAGGAAACAAUUUUGUUUCCCCUUUCUCUGAAGCAGCAUAUGAAAUGGCUUCUUUAGGGUUUCAUCAACCCUUGAGUGCCACCGCUCAGCCUUGUGCCAAAGCUCCGAUUACGACGGAGAUGGCAACAACUCGGUGGUUCCGGCAGAAAAGGUAAGUUUCCCGUUCUCUUCCUCUUUAUUAUUUUAAGCAAACUAUAAAAAUAAAAGAAGAAAGAAAAAAUAUAGAUAGAUAGUAAAAGAAUGAUGAACGCCAAUAAUGUAGAACGAAAAAAAAAAAAGAAACAUUUGUAUUCAAAAACUUCUUGUAUUUGUUUUCUCUCUUUUUCUCUGUAUCCCCUUCACCCUCUUUCAUAUAGUAUCUCAAUGGCUUUUUAUAGCCAUAAUAAAAAUACAAAACAAAGAAACAAAUCUGUUGCAAUUUUCUUGAUUUUUCUUGCCAUUGUUGUUUAUUUCCUUUCUUGCUGUGCAGGUGGAGAUCGCGUGGAGGUGGCUUGCGGCGCUGUUGAUCCUCAGAAACCCUAGGGUUUCCUCAUCCGUUUUGGACCACUGUAUUUGGGCCAUAUUCGAAAUUGGGCCACUGUUUUAAAUCGAUUUAGGCCUUUUAUUCGGGCCAAAAUCGGGUAUUACAAUAAUUAAAUUUAAUCAUCUAUAUUAUCUUAAUAUCAUAACCAUUUCUAAAAGGUUGAAAUGGAUAAGAAGACACUUCUGGAUUGGCUUGGGGUCUCUCCUCUUUUCCUUUGUCUUGCAUAGGUUCUCUACAUCUGUUUUAAUUCUGUUACUUAUUUUAAUCUAGUCCAUGAUAAUGUAUUUGGACGGAUGGAUAUGGAUAACCAGACAUUAAAAUGUGAAUGUUUUUAAUUUCAUAUUCAUGUGACGCUUUGUUUUCUUGUCUGAUAAUAAAAUCAAUCAAUCCCCCUGGAACGAAUUGGGUGAAGCCAAGAACCAGAAGCAAAAGCAAAUUGGAUAAGAAAACUAUGCCAUGUGGUCCAAUCCAUGUAUAGAACCCUUUGUUCCACAGCCUUGGAAAUCCAACCAUGUGGGGUGUUUCCAUUUUUGCCUUGAAAAUUGAUGCAACCCCGGGGCAGCAGCAAUCAUCUGAAUACAAUAAUGUUGCCCUCGACUUUACACAAUCAUAAUGCCAAUAACAUUCAUAGCAUCCGACUGCUAAUAACAAACAGCUAAUGAAGACACCCAAAGUCCCCAGAAUUUUAUGAAGAUGGCUUCUCAAAUAAAAACUGACCCUAAUUGUUGUAUGCUUUUGUUUGCUUACCAAAAAAACUACAAGUGGGCAACCCUUCUUUCAUAUUCUAAGUUCUAGCCUUAAGCCAAAAUUAUUC